This 393-nucleotide ribosomal RNA is filed under the name Micronecta sp. RNAcentral's name for it is "partial large subunit ribosomal RNA". It matches the Rfam family "Archaeal large subunit ribosomal RNA", at positions 1996 to 2592 of the family's 2987-position model. Lineage: Eukaryota; Metazoa; Arthropoda; Insecta; Hemiptera; Micronectidae. The record is from RNAcentral.
UUAUUUAAAUGGCCGCGGUACUUUGACCGUGCAAAGGUAGCAUAAUCAUUUGUCUCUUAAUUGGAGGCUAGUAUGAAUGGUUAAAUGAAGAGUUUACUUUAAAAUCUAAUUUUAUGAAUUUAAUUUUUGAGUCAAAAAGCUUAAAUUUUAUUAUGGGACGAGAAGACCCUAUAGAACUUUAUUUCUUUAUCUUUUAAUGUUUUCUGGUGAAUUUUUAUUUUAAACUUUCAAGGGAUUUGGUUGGGGCGACUUUGAGAAUUUAUUAACUCUCAUAUAUUUGGUUUUCACUAAUGAGUGUGAUUUUGAUCCAUUAUAAUGAUUAAUAGUUUAAGUUACCUUAGGGAUAACAGCGUAAUUUAUUUAGAGAGUUCAUAUCGAUAAAUAAGUUUGCGA